AUUGAACGCUGGCGGCAGGCCUAACACAUGCAAGUCGAACGGUAACAGGAAGAAGCUUGCUUCUUUGCUGACGAGUGGCGGACGGGUGAGUAAUGUCUGGGAAACUGCCUGAUGGAGGGGGAUAACUACUGGAAACGGUAGCUAAUACCGCAUAACGUCGCAAGACCAAAGAGGGGGACCUUCGGGCCUCUUGCCAUCGGAUGUGCCCAGAUGGGAUUAGCUAGUAGGUGGGGUAACGGCUCACCUAGGCGACGAUCCCUAGCUGGUCUGAGAGGAUGACCAGCCACACUGGAACUGAGACACGGUCCAGACUCCUACGGGAGGCAGCAGUGGGGAAUAUUGCACAAUGGGCGCAAGCCUGAUGCAGCCAUGCCGCGUGUAUGAAGAAGGCCUUCGGGUUGUAAAGUACUUUCAGCGGGGAGGAAGGGAGUAAAGUUAAUACCUUUGCUCAUUGACGUUACCCGCAGAAGAAGCACCAGCUAACUCCGUG
RNAcentral lists this ribosomal RNA (490 nucleotides) under uncultured bacterium. Its description in RNAcentral is "partial 16S ribosomal RNA". It matches the Rfam family "Bacterial small subunit ribosomal RNA", at positions 30 to 507 of the family's 1533-position model. The record is from RNAcentral.